RNAcentral lists this ribosomal RNA (497 nucleotides) under uncultured bacterium. RNAcentral describes it as "partial 16S ribosomal RNA". It matches the Rfam family "Bacterial small subunit ribosomal RNA", at positions 28 to 507 of the family's 1533-position model. The record is from RNAcentral.
GAUGAACGCUGGCGGCGUGCCUAAUACAUGCAAGUCGAGCGAACAGACGAGGAGCUUGCUCCUCUGACGUUAGCGGCGGACGGGUGAGUAACACGUGGAUAACCUACCUAUAGGACUGGGAUAACUUCGGGAAACCGGAGCUAAUACCGGAUAAUAUAUUGAACCGCAUGGUUCAAUAGUGAAAGACGGUUUUGCUGUCACUUAUAGAUGGAUCCGCGCCGCAUUAGCUAGUUGGUAAGGUAACGGCUUACCAAGGCAACGAUGCGUAGCCGACCUGAGAGGGUGAUCGGCCACGCUGGAACUGAGACACGGUCCAGACUCCUACGGGAGGCAGCAGUAGGGAAUCUUCCGCAAUGGGCGAAAGCCUGACGGAGCAACGCCGCGUGAGUGAUGAAGGUCUUCGGAUCGUAAAACUCUGUUAUUAGGGAAGAACAAAUGUGUAAGUAACUAUGCACGUCUUGACGGUACCUAAUCAGAAAGCCACGGCUAACUACGUG